This is a long non-coding RNA of Mastomys coucha (southern multimammate mouse), 407 nucleotides long. RefSeq lists it as uncharacterized. Lineage: Eukaryota; Metazoa; Chordata; Mammalia; Rodentia; Muridae. The record is from RefSeq and is a predicted model, not a curated record. The transcript has 3 exons.
GUGUUCUAGGUCUUCAAGCUGUUGAUCUCGUGUGCAGCAGUUGGUUGUUGAGUCCAGUGGUCAAUGGACGUUGGAACGGCAAUUUCUUCGCGCUCCUCACUUCGCUGUCACCACCGACAGUGCAGCUCAGAAACGCUCAGGCUCUGUGGCCCCAGGGCCUUGUCUAUCCAGCCCAGAAUUUGAAUAGUUCCUGUCUUCUACUUCUCCUAGGUUAAGUCUAGCCACUCCUCUGCCUUAAGAUAUGCAGUAUCAUAAGGGUUCCAGUAGGACAGUAUUCUCUUCACCUUUUGCGUUUUGCUUCCACAUACUCUUCCCAUGACACUGAGAGCCUACAAGAGUUGCUGGGAAGCUUGGGCCCUGUCAAAGGCAGGAGAGGGCUAUUUGCACACUGUCCUACAAAUCUACAG